CAGUCGCCACGGUAAUACGUAGGGGGCAAGCGUUGUCCGGAAUCAUUGGGCGUAAAGCGCGUGUAGGCGGCUCGAUAAGUCUGCUGUGAAAGUUCAGGGCUCAACCCGGAAAUGCCGGUGGAAACUGUCGAGCUUGAGUCCGGAAGAGGCAAGUGGAAUUCCUGGUGUAGCGGUGAAGUGCGCAGAUAUCAGGAGGAACACCAAUGGCGAAGGCAGCUUGCUGGGACGGUACUGACGCUGAGACGCGAAAGCGUGGGGAGCAAACAGGAUUAGAUACCCGUGUAGUCCCUGUCUCUUAUAC
This 301-nucleotide ribosomal RNA is filed under the name uncultured bacterium. Its description in RNAcentral is "partial 16S ribosomal RNA". It matches the Rfam family "Bacterial small subunit ribosomal RNA", at positions 509 to 807 of the family's 1533-position model. The record is from RNAcentral.